UGCGGAGUAGAGAAAAGGUAUCUCGCUUGUUUCAUAGGCAAGAGGUUAUUGGUUCGAGUCCAAUCUCACGCAACCA
RNAcentral lists this transfer RNA (76 nucleotides) under Ruminococcus bicirculans (ex Wegman et al. 2014). RNAcentral describes it as "tRNA-Met". It matches the Rfam family "tRNA". From Rfam's summary of the family: Transfer RNA (tRNA) molecules are approximately 80 nucleotides in length. Their secondary structure includes four short double-helical elements and three loops (D, anti-codon, and T loops). Lineage: Bacteria; Bacillati; Bacillota; Clostridia; Eubacteriales; Oscillospiraceae. RNAcentral also lists the same sequence under 2 other names. The record is from RNAcentral.